Molecule: ribosomal RNA, 727 nt
Filed under: Vibrio parahaemolyticus
Lineage: Bacteria; Pseudomonadati; Pseudomonadota; Gammaproteobacteria; Vibrionales; Vibrionaceae
Description: partial 23S ribosomal RNA
Rfam family: Bacterial large subunit ribosomal RNA
Source: RNAcentral
CCUUGUAGUGUUGAUGUUCUAACGUCGACCCCUUAUCGGGGUUGCGGACAGUGCCUGGUGGGUAGUUUGACUGGGGCGGUCUCCUCCCAAAGAGUAACGGAGGAGCACGAAGGUGGGCUAAUCACGGUUGGACAUCGUGAGGUUAGUGCAAUGGCAUAAGCCCGCUUGACUGCGAGAAUGACAAUUCGAGCAGGUGCGAAAGCAGGUCAUAGUGAUCCGGUGGUUCUGAAUGGAAGGGCCAUCGCUCAACGGAUAAAAGGUACUCCGGGGAUAACAGGCUGAUACCGCCCAAGAGUUCAUAUCGACGGCGGUGUUUGGCACCUCGAUGUCGGCUCAUCACAUCCUGGGGCUGAAGUCGGUCCCAAGGGUAUGGCUGUUCGCCAUUUAAAGUGGUACGCGAGCUGGGUUUAGAACGUCGUGAGACAGUUCGGUCCCUAUCUGCCGUGGGCGUUGGAAGAUUGAAGGGGGCUGCUCCUAGUACGAGAGGACCGGAGUGGACGAACCUCUGGUGUUCGGGUUGUGUCGCCAGACGCAUUGCCCGGUAGCUAAGUUCGGAAUCGAUAACCGCUGAAAGCAUCUAAGCGGGAAGCGAGCCCUGAGAUGAGUCUUCCCUGAUACUUUAAGUAUCCUAAAGGGUUGUCGGAGACUACGACGUUGAUAGGUCAGGUGUGUAAGUGCUGUGAGGCAUUGAGCUAACUGAUACUAAUUGCCCGUGAGGCUUAACCAU